GGGGAAUAUUGCACAAUGGGGGAAACCCUGAUGCAGCAACGCCGCGUGAGUGAUGAAGGUUUUCGGAUCGUAAAGCUCUGUCUUUGGGGAAGAUAAUGACGGUACCCAAGGAGGAAGCCACGGCUAACUACGUGCCAGCAGCCGCGGUAAUACGUAGGUGGCGAGCGUUAUCCGGAUUUACUGGGCGUAAAGGGAGCGUAGGCGGAUGAUUAAGUGGGAUGUGAAAUACCCGGGCUCAACUUGGGUGCUGCAUUCCAAACUGGUUAUCUAGAGUGCAGGAGAGGAGAGUGGAAUUCCUAGUGUAGCGGUGAAAUGCGUAGAGAUUAGGAAGAACACCAGUGGCGAAGGCGACUCUCUGGACUGUAACUGACGCUGAGGCUCGAAAGCGUGGGGAGCAAAC
Molecule: ribosomal RNA, 400 nt
Filed under: uncultured bacterium
Lineage: Bacteria
Description: bacterial SSU rRNA
Rfam family: Bacterial small subunit ribosomal RNA
Source: RNAcentral